Molecule: ribosomal RNA, 253 nt
Filed under: uncultured bacterium
Lineage: Bacteria
Description: partial 16S ribosomal RNA
Rfam family: Bacterial small subunit ribosomal RNA
Source: RNAcentral
UACAGAGGUGGCAAGCGUUGUUCGGAAUUACUGGGCGUAAAGGGCGCGUAGGCGGCCAUCUAAGUCAGACGUGAAAUCCCCCGGCUUAACCUGGGAACUGCGUCUGAUACUGGAAGGCUUGAGUAUGGGAGAGGGAUGUAGAAUUCCAGGUGUAGCGGUGAAAUGCGUAGAUAUCUGGAGGAACACCGGUGGCGAAGGCGGCAUCCUGGACCGGUAUUGACGCUGAGGAGCGAAAGCUAGGGGAGCAAACGGG